ACUACGGGCGGCAGCAGUGGGGGAUAUUGCACAAUGGGGGAAACCCUGAUGCAGCGACGCCGCGUGUGGGAAGACGGUCUUCUGGAUUGUAAACCACUGUCCCCAGGGACGAAAAUGACGGUACCUGGGGAGGAAGCUCCGGCUAACUACGUGCCAGCAGCCGCGGUAAUACGUAGGGAGCAAGCGUUGUCCGGAAUUACUGGGUGUAAAGGGAGCGUAGGCGGGGAUGCAAGUUGGGUGUCAAAACUACCGGACCAACCGAUAGUCGCACUCAAAACUGCAGCUCUUGAGUGAAGUAGAGGAAGGCGGAAUUCCUAGUGUAGCGGUGAAAUGCGUAGAGAUUAGGAGGAACACCAGUGGCGAAGGCGGCCUGCUGGGCUUUUACUGACGCUGAGGCUCGAAAGUGUGGGGAGCAAACAGGAUUAGAUACCCCAGUAGUC
Molecule: ribosomal RNA, 440 nt
Filed under: uncultured bacterium
Lineage: Bacteria
Description: partial 16S ribosomal RNA
Rfam family: Bacterial small subunit ribosomal RNA
Source: RNAcentral